GAGACACAUCUGUAAAGUUCAACGUCUAUCGGGACUGAGACAGCGGAGAUGGAAGGAAAAAAGACAACUGGUGCAAUCCAGACUUUAAACUUAACUGUUUGUGAGUGCAAAAAUGUAUUAGAGAUGAUAUUCAAUGGAAAACUGGAUCAUUAUCCAUGGAGAAAGGAAGUAAAAAAAAAAUUGCAGAUCUAUGGGGAUGAGAUGCUGUUGCUAAUGUGGAGCAAAUAAGAGGGAACUAACGUGAGGAGCCUGGGGGACACUGGAUGUAACUGUGUGAGAGCAGGAAGAGAAGCCAAAGAUGCUUUACUUACACUUGGAUAGGAACAGAACUGGGUGAGAGCCAUCCUUUGAACUGGACCACUGUGGAGAUCCCUUUGAGGAAGAUGGUGUGGUCAAUUUUCUCAAAUUAAUUAGUCAAGAACGUUGAGGAGAAACCUUUAUUUACCUUUGUCACAAUCACAUUGAGCAACGUUUUUGAUUUUGCGAAGAGCCAGAAAUGUAACAAGUGGGUUACAGGAAAAAAAACAGGCACAAUUUUGGCAGGGUGAACACAUUCAAGGGCCGUGGAGAGGACGGGAGACCAGAACUGGACACAGUACUACAGAAGAGGCCUCACCAAUGUCCUGCACAACCUCAUCAUGAUGUCAAAAUGCCUACAGUCAAAGAUCUGAGCAACAAAGGCAAGCAUGCUAAAUAACUUCUCAAUCACCCUCUCUAUCUGUAAUGCAAAUUUAAAAGAAUUAUCUAUGUGAACCCCUUGGUCUCUCUGUUCUACAAUAUUGCCAUUAAUUGUAUAAGUCCUGUCUUAAUGAAGGAAUGGCAGGUAUAGUUUGAAGUUAACGCAAGAGAAAGAACUUCCACUGGUGGCAAUUUCACACAUCUGCUGCCCAUGUCAUUGGAGGUGUUUGACAUUGUGGGUUUGUGAGGUGUUGGUGGAGGGACCCUGACAAGUUGUUUUAGACCAUUAUGCGCCUGGUCGGCUUUUGACACAGGGAACAAUUUUCUAAGAUGAUCGAUGGGGUGCCUUCCCAGUUAUUCUGCGAAUACCCACCUGUGACUUCCCUGCAAGACGUCCAGUGACCUGAAGAAUUGAACUGAAGCAUUUAUCGUAGGAUGUAAUCAAUAUAAAAUACAGUGAAAAGUGUGUACUAUCACCAUGCAUGAUGCUAUUCACAUUAACUUAAAAUACAACCGAAGAUAAAGAAUGAUAACUUAAAGAGAGUCCAAUUUUUCCUUCUCCGCUGCUACAGUCCUACUCCAGGCUACACACGCAAAUACGAGAUACACACGAGAUAUAGGCCAAAGGAAGGUAUAUGGAGUUGGGCCACAGAUCGGCCAUGAUGUCACUGAAUGGCGGAACAGGCUCUUGGGGCUGAAUGAUCUACUCCUCUUCCUAUAUUGCUAUGUCACAUCCUUUACUAACACGCCACAGUGACAGUUUAGGAUAUGAAGUCAAGCUCCAUGUGUGGCCAUCUGAUGCAUAAGCUGAGGCGUGAAUCACAUUGCCAACCCAAUAUACAUUCUGUCAUAAAACCUGACAGCUCUCUAAGGCUCUGUCUUCAGUCACUGAAGUGCCACAUUAAUGCAACUUGGAUGUUUUCUCAGGUUAAGUUUUAUGACUGAGCUGCUGAGUUUUAAUCUGCAUGUAACUAUAUUACAGU
Molecule: non-coding RNA, 1661 nt
Organism: Chiloscyllium plagiosum (whitespotted bambooshark)
Lineage: Eukaryota; Metazoa; Chordata; Chondrichthyes; Orectolobiformes; Hemiscylliidae
Source: RefSeq, a predicted model, not a curated record